UCCCAGCACUCCAAGUCGCAGCCACAAUUAUUGGGUCUAAAACAUCCGUAGCUUGCUCUGUAAGUCUUUUGUGAAAUCGGGACUCUUAAGGUUCCGGCGCGCAAAAGAUACUGCUUAGCUAGGGACCGGGAGAUGUGAAGAGUAUGAAUGAUGUAGCGGUAAAAUGCGUUGAUCUUAUUCAGACUAACAACAGCGAAGGCACUUCACAAGAACGGAUCCGACAGUGAGGGAUGAAGGCUAGGGGCGCAAAUUG
This 253-nucleotide ribosomal RNA is filed under the name uncultured archaeon. RNAcentral's name for it is "partial 16S ribosomal RNA". It matches the Rfam family "Archaeal small subunit ribosomal RNA", at positions 474 to 726 of the family's 1478-position model. The record is from RNAcentral.